UCCUCUGUAAAGCUUUGUGGGAUUUCUUAAGAUUAGCAAACGUCAGGGUUGGAGAGAAGGCUCAGCGGUUACAAGCUCUGACUGCUAUUCUGAGGGUCCUAGAGGGGAGGUAGAAAGUGCAGUCCAUGAGAUAGUGCACUAUGGUACUAAGGAGCUUAAUGAGUUUACUAAUUCAUACCAGCAGAAGUCUGGGGAAUGUGUGGGAAUGGAUCUUAAGGGUGUGGGAUAAUGGAAUGGAAUAACAGAGGAACACAACUAGAUCAGGCUGAGUUUACUGACAUGGACCCUCAGAGUGGAGAUUCUAAGUUUAAUAUGGAAGCUUGCACAGUUAAAAGAGGUGUCAGACGUUUGAUUGAUUGGUUGGCUGAAGUGUUUAUCAGAGGACAGCCUACUGAAAAGGAGUUGGAGAUGCCUGAUAUUCCCUGGUUUCGUGUUGAUGAAGGGAUUUUAAGGCUCAGGGAAACUAUAGCCUUAACUGCACCUAUAGCCUCACGGAUGUUCCCUAUGAUCAGUUGACUGAGGAAAAGAGAACUAGGACCUGGGUUACCAAUGGUUCUGCAGGCUAUGCAGGCACCACCCAGAAGUGGACAGCUGCAAUAUUACAACCCCGUGUUGGGACAACCCUGGUGAAGGGAAAUCUUCACAGAGGGUAGAACUUUGGUAGCACACGUGGUAGUACAGUUUGUUUGAAAGAAGAAGUA
Molecule: long non-coding RNA, 701 nt
Filed under: Rattus norvegicus (Norway rat)
Lineage: Eukaryota; Metazoa; Chordata; Mammalia; Rodentia; Muridae
Description: long non-coding RNA NONRATT001222
Source: RNAcentral